GUUCAAGUCUGCUGUCAAAGACAGUAGCUCAACUACUGACAGGCACUGGAAACUGAAUCGCUAGAGAACGGUAGGGGCAGAAGGAAUUCCCGGUGUAGCGGUGAGAUGCGUAGAUUUCGGGAAGAACAUCGGCGGCGAAAGCGUUCUGCUGGACCGUAUCUGACACUCAGGGACGAAAGCUAGGGGAGCGAAUGGGAUUAGAUACCCCAGUAGUCCUAGCUGUAAACGAUGGAUACUAGGUGUUGCCUGUAUCGACCCGGGCAGUGCCGUAGCUAACGCGUUAAGUAUCCCGCCUGGGGAGUACGCACGCAAGUGUGAAACUCAAAGGAAUUGACGGGGGCCCGCACAAGCGGUGGAGUAUGUGGUUUAAUUCGAUGCAACGCGAAGAACCUUACCUGGACUUGACAUGUCGCGAACCCCAGUGAAAGCUAGGGGUGCCUACGGGAACGCGAACACAGGUGGUGCGUGGCUGUCGUCAGCUCGUGUCGUGAGAUGUUGGGUUAAGUCCCGCAACGAGCGCAACCCUCGUCUUUAGUUGCCAGCAAGUAAAGUUGGGAACUCUAGAGAGACUGCCGGUGACAAACCGGAGGAAGGUGGGGAUGACGUCAAGUCAGCAUGCCCCUUACGUCCAGGGCGACACACGUACUACAAUGGUGGAGACAAAGGGCAGCGAACUCGCGAGAGGUAGCCAAUCCCGCAAACUCGACCUCAGUUCAGAUUG
Molecule: ribosomal RNA, 721 nt
Filed under: uncultured cyanobacterium
Lineage: Bacteria; Bacillati; Cyanobacteriota
Description: bacterial SSU rRNA
Rfam family: Bacterial small subunit ribosomal RNA
Source: RNAcentral